AACGAACGCUGGCGGCAGGCCUAACACAUGCAAGUCGAACGCUUCAGCAAUGAAGAGUGGCAGACGGGUGAGUAACGCGUGGGAACCUUCCCAGUGGUACGGAAUAGCCCAGGGAAACUUGGGGUAAUACCGUAUAAGCCCUUCGGGGGAAAGAUUUAUCGCCAUUGGAUGGGCCCGCGUCGGAUUAGCUUGUUGGUGAGGUAAAAGCUCACCAAGGCGACGAUCCGUAGCUGGUCUGAGAGGAUGAUCAGCCACACUGGGACUGAGACACGGCCCAGACUCCUACGGGAGGCAGCAGUGGGGAAUAUUGGACAAUGGGCGCAAGCCUGAUCCAGCCAUGCCGCGUGAGUGACGAAGGCCUUAGGGUUGUAAAGCUCUCUUGGCGGGGACGAUAAUGACGGUACCCGCAGAAUAAGCUCCGGCUAACUUCGUG
This 433-nucleotide ribosomal RNA is filed under the name uncultured bacterium. RNAcentral describes it as "bacterial SSU rRNA". It matches the Rfam family "Bacterial small subunit ribosomal RNA", at positions 29 to 507 of the family's 1533-position model. The record is from RNAcentral.